CCCCAUGGAACACGAUCUGCCGUUACAGGAACUCUGACCUGCAACAUUCGGCUCGACGUGGUGCUGAUGAGAGCAGAACAUCGAUUUCCGAAUGGUGUUUCAGAUAAAAUUAAUGGAGCAGGUCACGUACAGGUAGCGGUAACAAUCUCGUCACAUUCUCUACGAACUGUGAAAAUAUCUUUUAGCGUUAGAAAGCUCGGGUCGUGGAUGGUCGAAAGAAGGGACCCGUCUUCAAAUUUUCAUAUUUCAAUUUUAUUCCCGUUUUAGCAAGCAAACAGGAUUCUUCGCUGUAAGAAGAGAUUUAACGUAAAAUUGAAAUAUGCGAAGAUAUUCCUUAAUGUUAGGGAAACAUAAUUGCGUCGAAAAUGAUGAUCGAAAGCAAGAUCAAGAUAUAAAAUAGUAUAGAAUAAUUUAGCUGUUUAUCGGGAAAAUUUUACUCGUCUAAAAUCGUUCAACGGAUAAUCGAAAUCCGAUUUAGCUAAACAUCGCACGAGUGGAUGGCGAAAAAUUAUCGUCUUCGAAAGUUUGAGGAGCCAUGAAGCAGAUCAAAGACUCCCUCCCUUUUCAGAGACUCUUUCCUAAAGUACAGGUAGCUAAGUAAACAUUUGGAAUGUUUGAGAGUGGAAUUUUCCUCAAUGAAUGACUUACUUGCGUUACGCGUAAUAUACAGAAAAUUU
Molecule: unclassified non-coding RNA, 677 nt
Filed under: Bombus terrestris (buff-tailed bumblebee)
Lineage: Eukaryota; Metazoa; Arthropoda; Insecta; Hymenoptera; Apidae
Description: misc RNA ENSBTSG00005032216.1
Source: RNAcentral